UGGGGCGUGGCUAAGUGGUAAGGCAACGGGUUUUGGUCCCGCUAUUCGGAGGUUCGAAUCCUUCCGUCCCAG
Molecule: transfer RNA, 72 nt
Filed under: Euonymus alatus (winged euonymus)
Lineage: Eukaryota; Viridiplantae; Streptophyta; Magnoliopsida; Celastrales; Celastraceae
Also listed under: 15 other names
Description: tRNA-Gln
Rfam family: tRNA
About the family: Transfer RNA (tRNA) molecules are approximately 80 nucleotides in length. Their secondary structure includes four short double-helical elements and three loops (D, anti-codon, and T loops). Further hydrogen bonds mediate the characteristic L-shaped molecular structure. tRNAs have two regions of fundamental functional importance: the anti-codon, which is responsible for specific mRNA codon recognition, and the 3' end, to which the tRNAs corresponding amino acid is attached (by aminoacyl-tRNA synthetases). tRNAs cope with the degeneracy of the genetic code in two manners: having more than one tRNA (with a specific anti-codon) for a particular amino acid; and 'wobble' base-pairing, i.e. permitting non-standard base-pairing at the 3rd anti-codon position.
Source: RNAcentral